Pelobates cultripes (western spadefoot toad) is the source of this 410-nucleotide non-coding RNA. NCBI's taxonomy places the organism in Eukaryota, Metazoa, Chordata, Amphibia, Anura, Pelobatidae. The record is from the annotation of a GenBank genome assembly.
GGACACUAUAGUCACCCAGACCUCUUCAGCUCAAUGAAGUGGUCUGGGUGCCAGGUCCCUCAGUUUUUAACCCUUCCCAUAAUCCAACCUCUAGUGGCUGUCUUCCUGACAGCCGCUAGAGGCGCAUUUGCGACGCUGGAUGCGACAGUUUGCAUGCGCAUUCCGCUCCACUUGGGAGUUGACGUCGGCGGGGCAGGAGAGGUCACCAGCACAGAGGGAGCCCAGCGUUCUAACCCCUUCAGUGCCACGGAAGGGGGACCCAGCUUUGUUUUCCUGACACUAUAGUGAUCCUUUAAUGUUUGUGAUAUUUUUGGAAACCCUUAGAAUUCAGCAACUAACAUAAUCAUAGGUGGUGUACUGUCGAGGAUCUGCCACAAUCCUGAUCCCAUUCAUGCAUUUGAGGACCGAGG